Molecule: unclassified non-coding RNA, 396 nt
Filed under: Basidiomycota sp.
Lineage: Eukaryota; Fungi; Basidiomycota
Description: partial contains small subunit ribosomal RNA, internal transcribed spacer 1, and 5.8S ribosomal RNA
Rfam family: Eukaryotic small subunit ribosomal RNA (bases 1-47)
Source: RNAcentral
AAAGUCGUAACAAGGUUUCCGUAGGUGAACCUGCGGAAGGAUCAUUAACACGUAUCCAACGUUAAACCCCCCGUGAACCUUCAUUGUACGCGUCUGCUCAGUUGGAAAGUGGCAAUCCCUGGUAAAUCAUCGCCGAACAGUUUUGAUUCAGGGACUUCUACGGUUUGCGGAAAACGCGGCGAGGCAAGUGGUCUGGCAUUCCUCUGCUUGUUAGUGUCUGAAAGUGUCACUAGCUCUGUAAGGAUGGCGCAGUAACGAUCGCUGGAGGCCGACACGGCCGGCGACUGGAUCACUGGGCAUUACGCUCCUUUAUCACCUUUGCAUGAAAACGGGCCUGCGCUUAAUUGUGCGGCCACCAAACUCGAACAACUGUUAACAAUGGAUAUCUUGGUUCUC